CCUGUUGGAGCAUGAGCAACUGCAUGACAGAGAGCCCAGUUGUCUCAGCUAAAGCCAUCCCAAACCAGCCUCAAAGCAGGUGACCCUCAAACACAAGAGAGUCUGACCAAGAUCAAGAGGGCCACCCCCCAUCCCUGCCAGCCCCAGCUGAUGGCAGACAGAUCGGGCAAGCCCACUUAAGCCCUGAAGAUCCAUCCAGUUGACCUGCAGACUUGUAAGCAACAGCAUCACCAGAGCCAGCCAGCAGAGGAUGGCAAACCAGUGGAGAGAAAACCAACUGUCUCAGCUGGGCCAGUCUAGAACAGACAGCCCCCAGACGGCCCAGCAGCUAAUAAAAGAGUAGCAGGUACUUUGCUUCUCGACAAUGGCCCUUAGAGAUCCCUCGUGAGAGAGACUGCUGCAUUUUCUUGAGGACCUGUCCUACGUCACCUGCGGCUGCCCCAUCUGACACCCUGCCCUGCCUCCAACCCUCAGUAAGCAGCAAAGCCACACAUCAACCGUCAGCUCCCUAAUAGCAAGUCAGCCGGCACUGCCAGCUCAUUCAAUUUGCAGGACUCAGGAGGCUCCCAUGCCAGCCAGCAUCCCUUCCUGCUGCGGGCAGCAAGGACAGCAGCCCAGCCGCAAGAACACGAAAACACUGCUUUUCAACCAGACUGAAUGGGAUCAGUGGGUGGGCCGGUCCACUUGUCGGCAUCAGUUGGAGAUCAAAGCAACACAGGAGGGAACAGACCCAGAAGGGAGAAGGAGCGAAAAGCCUCCCUCAACACACUCCACAUCCAGCCAGGGCUUCUAAGGGGAAUAUGUGGGAAUAAUCCUGACCAAAACACCACCCCUCCCCUAGGAGCCCAGGAGAGAAAGGGUGACAAGGAUAUAGAAUGGGGGCUGGGGACAGGGUGGUGGGAGGGGGGUGGAGGCGGAAGAGGAAGCAACAGAAAAUACAAAGGAAGGAAGGAGGGCAAUUGGAGGAAGCAACUCCACCCUCUUACAGCUUCAAAGAGGGCCCUUCUCUGUCCCUGAGCCUUCAGGGAACCAAGAGGGCAGGGGGCCCAUGGAGGAGACAGCUGCACGCAGUCCUGGCUGCACGCAUGGCACCGGCUGCCAGCUGGAGGGGAAGCAGGCUCUCCUGGCUCCAGAAGGCAGAGGGCUGGUACUUUUUGCUUUUCUCUGAAGAGUUGGAGAAAACAGAGCCCAGCCCUGUGAACCUAGCCAGGUCCAAUUUCCUCCCACAAGGCAAAUUCUUUCCUGUGCUUGGGAAACACACCUGGCUCGAAUUCUCAAGCCCGGGCCAGGAGCUCAGAGCUUUCUCCCAGUGGAUGGUCCCUGGGAGAAAUAAAAUGCUUGGCUGAAGCAGAACAUUUUGAUGGCAAAAAUCCUCAGAGGGAGACAAAUAAGCUCUCCAGGGCUGCCCCAUCUGCUCUCUGUAGGUAGCAGUCACAGUAAUGGUCAUGGCAAUAAAGAUGAUAGGAAUAAUGAUGGGCACCAUUAAAUGAGCACUUACUAAGUGACAGGCUUUUUUUUUUUUUAAUGGCCUCCUCAUGAUUCAAGGCCAUCAGCAUCAGAGACCAGAGCCCCCAUCUCCACCCUUAGGUACAGGAUGCUCUGGUUGGUAUCAUCUGCAACCCCUGUGUCACUUUGCUGAAGGCUUCCUCCUACUCCAGCUGCCUCUGCCCACUCAUCAGCAGGCUGGGAGUGCCAGAGAAUAAAUAAUCCCACCCCCCAGAGCAACCUUGGCCAAUAAGGAAUGAGUUGGCGGAUCAAUACCCCAGCUCCUCUGCUCUUUGAAUGAGAGAAGUCUGUGUGGUCUUCACUGGCUCCCAGUUGGGCUUAAUCCUAAUAGGAUGAAACUCUGGUCACCCAGGAUGGUCAUUUGCUUGAUAUCAUACCUGGUGUGGGCUGCCUUCCUUUCCUGUCUCACCCACUCCCCAGAUCCUUCCUAGUGUUUCCUUGGAUCACCUUCCCAAGAAACAGCUUGUGCUAGAAUCCUUGUCCCAAGGUCAGCUUCUGGGGGGAAUCCAACCUAUGAAAGUUAUAGGACCAUUUUACAUGUGAGAAAACUGAGGUCCACAGGGUUUAAGAAUUCACCUUCUUCUGCCUGACUCAGAGUACUCAUGACUAUUCUCUACUGUGAUUUCUAUGACUUUGCUGAAUUCUCUGGGUGCCAAGUAAACUGUAGUUCAAGCCAGAG
Long non-coding RNA from Bos taurus (domestic cattle), 2185 nucleotides. The record is from Ensembl. NCBI's taxonomy places the organism in Eukaryota, Metazoa, Chordata, Mammalia, Artiodactyla, Bovidae.